UUCCAGUAUCCCUUCAAGAGCCAAGGUCUCCAGGCCAUAUAAUUCCAUUCUGGAUACCUUGCCUCUUGAAGGGAUACUGAAAUCUAGCCAGUUAAAAAAGUGGAUGAGACGAUAUAUUACUCUAUUAUUCCAAUUACCUGCUUUUGGGAAAGAGAAUUAGGGGUUAAACCUGACUGGGAUGUGGUAUAGGUCAGGUGUUUUACUACCAGCAAGAACCUUGCACACCAACUGAUCCACUAUAAACAGGGCAUACAUUACUCCAGGACUGUGCCCUACGAUGGAUUGGCACCCUGUCCAGGGUGUACCCCGCCUCGUGCCCAAUGCUCCCUGGGAUAGGUUUCCCCGUAACCCUGAAAAGGAUUAAGCGGUAUAGAAGAUGGAUGGACUGAUGGACAUUACUCCAGGUUCAUUGCAUAAAAUGAAUAAAUGAUCCGUAUUGUCAUCUUUGUAAUAAAUCUACCGUAGGCUCUUACAUACACGUUUUGGGAACGCCCUAUAGUGUUUUCAUUCUGGACAUUUGUAUGCACCGUCCUUGCGGACAUUUUACACCUGGAGAUACCCAAGAAUCCCCUGCUCCUCCUCUUAAAGCUUUGGGUGGAACCGUCCGCUCCUACGCUCCUCAACAAUUAUAAAUAAUUUCUUCGUUUUUUAAAAUUUAUUCAAACGGACUUUGGAAGACGUAGAUGUGCAAGAGGAAUAUUUUAAGGAUAGUUUUGUGCCCGAAUAAGUCUUAAUUCCCCUGUGUGAAUAUUCUACUCACCGAUGAAGACACAUUUAUCCGAAUUCCAUUAAAAGCGAGUUAUUUAUUAAGAAAAAUCAUGUUAACACAUAAGACAAACAACAACAACAAAAACAAAAACAAAAACACGUCGUCAUUCGUUAACUGCUUCGACACUGAGGAAACCACAUGUGCUUUGUAAUCCUGGAAACAAAACCAGUCCCUGCAUCCUCCCGGAAAGGAACAGCAUACAUAUUGAUUCCUGCUGCUGAUGUUUGGUGAAGAAAAGAUGAAAAUUUGGUUAGCUCUGAAGGUUCUUCUGUUCCUAUCAUGUUCUAGGAUCUCGGUAAUAACUUACACAAAUUCUGUACAUAAUUACAGCAGGCUUAAUACCUGACACAGCUUUCUCACAUACACACACACACAAAAUAAUAAUAAUAAUAAUAAUAAUAAUAAUAAUAAUAAUAAUAAUAAUAAUAAUAAUUCUACAGAAUGCAGCCAUGGAAAUAAGCGUCCUCUUUACAAUGCUGGCCUUCUCAUUGUACAGCGAAUAAUGACUCUGAAAAAUACAAGCGACUAUUCUUACACUUUAAAAACAAGCACUGGAAUGAAGCCCUUUGCACCUGCGAUCGUCAUGUUUCCUGAAAUUACUCGGCCGCCUUUCUGCGUUCCUUCUCAUGUCCUGGGAGAAGGUGGGUGUGGACCGAACGCUAGCUUCCGGAUCAGUGAAACACAGUACGUUAAGUCACUUUGGAAAAUGUCACCCCGAAUACAUUCAUUUUCAAGUCUGAUACAUGCUAGUUUAGGCAUGAGUGGUCUCGAAGCUCAAGCAGAAAACUUAAGACGGGUAUAAAUCCGCUAUUUAAAUACAAAACGUGAGUGACGCACACAAAGACGGUGAUAAGGAUAUCUUAAAUACGAUUCACACGGCACCCUGAUAGGAAGGAUAAACUGACAGGUAGCAGGGAAUAUUUAAGGCUGAUGUCGAGAUGCUGAUCGAGGAACGCAUGACCUUCGUCCUGAUGCGGUUUGAUUUCCGAUGCGCGAUUUACGGCGGUCUGUAAAAAACCCGGAAGUGCAACAGCAAAUCAGAAAACACUGCAAUAAAGUUUCAAAUGCAAUGGCGAAUUAAAGCCUUAAAGGAAGCCGGGUUAUUCAAAAGAAAGGAUUUCUCUUCGCUGUAAUGACUUUAUAUCCGCACUAGCGCUGUAAUGAUAUGCUGUAUCACAUUGUUCGAUAAGAGGCUCUCAAUGCGAUGCAUCUUCGUAUUGUUUAUUCCUCAUAAAAUACCGCUUAUGUUACGUGAGGUGUAAUAAACAUUUCAAUUUAAUAAUUGUUUUUUUUUUUUAAAUAGCGUAUUAGAUCGGGAAAGGCAGCAAUGGCUUCGCUUAGCGUCAGACAGGAACUGGAAGAUUCCCUGAAAUCUUUGAGGUCUGGUGUAGAAAGCGCUUCCUGAGAAGUUACGCCGGAGCGAGAUGUCACAGAACGCCGAAUACCUGUACAAUACAUCGGUGCUAAUAGCACAAACAUGUGCGACAUCAACUAGAUGAAGCCACAAAGCGAAGCACGCACUCAGCAAACUCUCUUCAUUCAGGCCUGUCGUUGCCGGUUCAAUCCAGGAUACAGAAAUCGCCACGGCGAUUGGGAAGUUCAUAUAUCCGGGACUGGAGAACCCAGGAUUUAAGAACACACCUAGAGCUACAGAGAGCUACGUGAGUGUGACGGUACAACUAGCUAACAGCAGAAUAAGAAAAAGCUCUGCGCUUCAGACAUGCCACCUGGAGUGACCCCAGUGGAAAUCUAACGCAGAGAUAGAAGAGUCUGAAUCCAUCACACGACAUCACACCGCCACAUUAUUACCUUUUAAUUAUUGUUCUUUUUACAGAAGCCCUAAGAGGCUAUGCAUUCUUAUUUUUUUCUUUCUUGUUUACUCGUGAUUUCGACUUAACAAAAGUUGUUUACUCGUGAUUUCGACAUGACAAAAAGUUGUUUACUCGUGAUUUCGACUUAACAAAAAGUUGUUUACUCGUGAUUUCGACUUAACAAAAAGUUGUUUACUCGUGAUUUCGACUUAACAAAAAUUGUUUACUCGUGAUUUCGACUAAACAAAAGUUGUUUACUCGUGAUUUCGACUUAACAAAAAGUUGUUUACUCGUGAUUUCGACUAAACAAAAGUUGUUUACUCGUGAUUUCGACUAAACAAAAGUUGUUUACUCGUGAUUUCGACUUAACAAAAAGUUGUUUACUCGUGAUUUCGACUAAACAAAAGUUGUUUACUCGUGAUUUCGAAAUAACAGUUGUUUACUCGUGAUUUCGACUUAACAAAAGUUGUUUACUCGUGAUUUCGACUUAACAAAAGUUGUUUACUCAUGAUUUCGACUUAACAAAAGUUGUUUACUCGUGAUUUCGACUUAACAAAAGUUGUUUACUCGUGAUUUCAAUAUAACAAAAGCUGUUUACUCGUGAUUUCGACUUAACAAAAGUUGUUUACUCGUGAUUUCGACGUUAUUUACUCGUGAUUAUGACUUAACAAAAAUUGUUUACUCGUGAUUUCGACAUAGCAAAAGUUGUUUUCUCACAACAUCAUUUUAUCAGGAGAAAAUCUCACGCCUUGUGAAUGGGACUGGUAUUGUAUGCAUGUUGUUGUCUUUGCCAUCAUCAUCAUCAUCAUCAUCAUCAUAUAUGUAAUAACUACCCGCUGUAGAGAUGGACCUUAUCUCCGCAUGAAGAGUGAUGGGUGUCCCCUGCUCCGGGAUCGCGCUACGCUUCUGCUGCCCCCAGAACAACUAAAAACAUGUUGUUAUUUCGAGAACAUACAAAAAUGAAGUCAUGACGAGAGCACGAGAAAACGAGAAAGAAUCAAAUAAGGGCUUCCGUAACUGUUCAUCUUAAACAUUUGGAUCGAUUCAAAAACGGAAAUCAAAAGCACGCUUUCAUUCAAUACGUAUAUUUCUCUGUAUUGAUAUCGCAUCGAGACACCACCGUAUCCUGUAUCGAAUGUGAAUUUCACGUCUUGCUACACCCCUGAUGAUCGUUACUAUACGUGAUUGCUGUCGUGUCUUCUGAUUUGCUGUUGAAGUAAGUAUGGUGGCCCAUAAAGGCGUCAACAUAAAGCUGAAUGAUGGUGAUACUUCAAUUCAGUUCGUUACAGUUUUUCCCAAUUGCACACACAGAACUGUGUUAUUAACGUUAACGUAGAGUCUUUACGUAGGAGUCUUAUUCCAAAACUCCUGAAAACAGUAACUGCAAAGUACUUCACAUUAGACACAAUGCUAUAACGUUCACUGACAAAAAGAAAAGAAAAGAAAAAAAAAUCGAAGGUCCGAGUUCCUCAUUUAGGACAGAUUUGAGGACAGCUUCACAUAUAGUAUUAGUACACCGGACCAACGUCCCCAUGAGAGUUCUGACAAACAUUGCGUGUUCAUAAACCAUCAUAGCGCAUCAUACUGAGCAGAACGUUUACAAAUGUAGCCGGAUAGCUAGUUGUGUACCUAAUGGUGGUUGUUUUGUUUAAAAUCGUAUGGUUUGUAGAUCGCCAGAAGUGAUACUGUGGUUAAAAUGAACUAGCUAAGGUAACACACACUCACCUUACCUGUCUGACUAGCAUGCUAGCUAGUAAGACUAACAUGCUAGUUAUCAAACAGUAGUGUUGUGUGAGCACUAAAUAAAUAAAUAAAUUAAAAAAAUUGCCUAUAUAAAUGAUCCUUUAAAGGAUGUGGUUAAUAACACAGCUUGGGGCUUGUUUUGCUCAAAUUUAGCUUGUUUUGCUAGGUGUCUAGCCUAAUUAGCGUUGAGUUAUUUUAAAGCUGUGUGUACACUGUGUGCAAGCAAAAGAGAAAAACCGCACUCCUGAGCAUCAAACCCAGACAAUAGCAGUGCCGCUAUAGUACACACACCACGAUAUCAGAUCAGGCUCUCGUCGUAUCGCACUUUCGGUUUUCUGUAAAAUCUCUCACGUCGUAGUAAAGACUCGAAGCGUGUCAGUGUGUCGGAAUACGACGAAACCACCUCGCUUUAGAGCUGGAGUGCAUUAAGUUCUCACGCUUCUUCUUGGUAGCUGCAGUCCUGACGAACGGACGUCUCCUCCCGCCCCCCCAUGAUUCUUUGCACAUUGGCACGUGCCGAGAAGUGAGAGUUUGAGAAAAGUUCUGCUCUGGGAUCGAAUAUGAAGAUCGUUUCCUCCGGACUUCAAAACAUGUUAAAAAAAAACGUUUGAUGUCUGAAGUCUGCAUCUAUAGUUUUUCGCUAGAGCUACGAGGUUAAUGUAGCUAAUAGAAAGUCUCUCUCACUCAAAAUCAUUCGCAUAAAUACCUGACUCAAACCGCAACCAGUUCUGGACGCCAUGUGACGGCUGGCUGGGAAAACGACGUUAUCGGGAAUUAAACUGCAGCCUGAAUCAGAAGCGUGGCUUCUCAUUGUAUGAGCAUAGGUGUAAAACUAAUACGCACAGGAACACAAAUACUCAUUAGGUGCUUUUACACGCGCCCAUUUUCGUCGAUCCGAAUUCAGACUCCGAAAGUACUGUACCGUAAUCCCUAAUUUCUCCAUCUGGGGAUUGAUAAACUAUUAUCUUAUCUUAUCUUAUCUAAACAUUGCGAUCCAAUUCAAAUAUCCGCUUACAGGUGCGUUACAUUUCAGCCAUGAGAACUCUCGGAGUGAAACCGUGAGCUUUUAUAGAUGGGGACGGAGUGUAAAUAGGUUUGGUCUGGCGCACUCGAGCUGUGACGCGGCUGCUGCGCGAGUACGAAUACUUGCACCGAUAGUCAUGGAGAGACAUGCGGCCCCGAACGGAGCUAUUUAUCAACAGAAAGAAAGACAAAUGCGGCACGUAGCGUUAUUUACAGAGAUGAAGGGCUUAAGACCAGCCAGUCCUGACUGUAAUCUAUAAGCAUACAUAAAAUUUCAUUCUCUCUUGGAACGCUGUAACAUUAUAGGUGGCGGCCAUCUUGGACCAAUGCCUGUACACCCAAAAUAUGAAGGUACUGUAGAGGUACUGUAGUAGUACAAUACAAUUCACUACAGUUUUUUUUAUUUUCUUAAAAUGAGAUUACACAGCCAAUCGAUAUGAUAUGACAAUUUGGGCGAGACAGAUAGUUUUGAGUGAGGUAGACUUCCAUUAUUUGUUAACUACAUUGGCUUCAUAGAUCCAAAAAAAAAAAAAACCCAAAAAAUCAUUUAACCGAAUGGAAAAUUGUAUAUAUUUUAAUGUUCCUUUAACCUGAUAUUUGAAAUGACGACAAAACCAAAAUGGUACGCAGUCAGUUAGUUAUGAAAUGGGGAGACACUGUUUUGUAUCAGAGGCAUUGUAACAGUCUUCCUUAGAGGAAAACACACCCACACACACACACACACACACACUGCAUAGUUCCAUCAUGUUCAUUCAUCAUGUGCAGAAGGAGAAACCGUCUCAGUUCCUGUGUCACUUUCUUUCUGUGUUUUUUUCCCCCUCCUGGUUUCACAUGUUGUAGGCCACGUAAAUGGGGUCGAGCUGAUCGGCGAGGAAGCCAUCGCGCAGGUGCAUGCGCUGCUUCUCCCCACGAGAGUUGAUGGGAAUGACGCCCGGGUCGACCACCACCACCACGCCCACGAUCAGGUAGUGCUCCUCCAAAACCACGUUGGUGACGAGGGGAACGAGAUCCAGAGCCUCCUGCUCCAAGCCUUCCAGCUCCACCACCACCACCAGCAGGUUAGUCCACGUGAACACGGCACUGCAGAGGACAAACACCGCGUGUAAAGAAGUGUGCAUACUGUACAGCACAGGAAGGAAAAACAGUAAUGAAAGUAAUAUAUAUCUGCACACUUUCGGCACGGACUCGGG
Molecule: long non-coding RNA, 6536 nt
Organism: Ictalurus punctatus (channel catfish)
Lineage: Eukaryota; Metazoa; Chordata; Actinopteri; Siluriformes; Ictaluridae
Source: Ensembl